Molecule: ribosomal RNA, 253 nt
Filed under: uncultured bacterium
Lineage: Bacteria
Description: partial 16S ribosomal RNA
Rfam family: Bacterial small subunit ribosomal RNA
Source: RNAcentral
UACGGGGGGGGCAAGCGUUGUUCGGAAUUACUGGGCGUAAAGGGGACGUAGGCGGCUUGUCGCGUCGAAUGUGAAAUUUUAGGGCUCAACCCUGACAUUGCAUUCGAUACGGGCAGGCUUGAGUUCGGUAGGGGAGACUGGAAUUCCUGGUGUAGCGGUGAAAUGCGCAGAUAUCAGGAGGAACACCGGUGGCGAAGGCGGCAUCCUGGACCGGUAUUGACGCUGAUGCGCGAAAGCCAGGGGAGCAAACGGG